UCUUGGUCAAUUUAGAGGAAGUAAAAGUCGUAACAAGGUUUCCGUAGGUGAACCUGCGGAAGGAUCAUUACAGAGUUCAUGCCCGAAAGGGUAGACCUCCCACCCUUGUGUAUUAUUACUUUGUUGCUUUGGCGAGCUGCCUUCGGGCCUUGUAUGGUCGCCAGAGAAUACCAAAACUCUUUUUAUUAAUGUCGUCUGAGUACUAUAUAAUAGUUAAAACUUUCAACAACGGAUCUCUUGGUUCUGGCAUCGAUGAAGAACGCAGCGAAAUGCGAUAAGUAAUGUGAAUUGCAGAAUUCAGUGAAUCAUCGAAUCUUUGAACGCACAUUGCGCCCCUUGGUAUUCCGGGGGGCAUGCCUGUUCGAGCGUCAUUUCAACCCUCAAGCUUAGCUUGGUAUUGAGUCUAUGUCAGUAAUGGCAGGCUCUAAAAUCAGUGGCGGCGCCGCUGGGUCCUGAACGUAGUAAUAUCUCUCGUUACAGGUUCUCGGUGUGCUUCUGCCAAAACCCAAAUUUUU
This 515-nucleotide ribosomal RNA is filed under the name Botrytis cinerea. RNAcentral describes it as "eukaryotic LSU rRNA". The stretch from base 218 to 371 matches the Rfam family "5.8S ribosomal RNA". Lineage: Eukaryota; Fungi; Ascomycota; Leotiomycetes; Helotiales; Sclerotiniaceae. The record is from RNAcentral.